Long non-coding RNA from Talpa occidentalis (Iberian mole), 426 nucleotides. RefSeq lists it as uncharacterized. The record is from RefSeq and is a predicted model, not a curated record. Lineage: Eukaryota; Metazoa; Chordata; Mammalia; Eulipotyphla; Talpidae. The transcript is spliced from 3 exons.
GUUAAUUAUUUUCCAGCUGUUAAGGGCCACAGUUUGGUGUGGUGGGUAUGAUACCCCACCAACUGGGUAACACUUGCUCCUCGAAUACUUCUGCAGCUAAGAAAUCUCAGUGGAACUGCUGACAAAGGCCGCCUACAGAUUCUGGGAGUGAAAUCCUUUAACUUUGGCCACCCUUACUAAUUGAGUCAUUAUUUGAAUUCUUCUAGCCUGACUGCAAAUUAUCAGUCAAGGAUCCCCCUCGUACCUCAGCACCCCGGGGCCCUAUCAUUGUGGCAAGCUGGUCAGGAGAACGUCUGUAAGGUAAGUUGCUCUCCCUGUGUGCUCUGCCUCCUGCCACUUCUGACCUCCAGCCUUUCUACCCCUUGCCUGCCUCAAGCUUGCCUGUGCAGGGCAUGCACUUCCCAGGUACCUACAUGGCCGCACGGC